RNAcentral lists this transfer RNA (71 nucleotides) under Bos taurus (domestic cattle). It matches the Rfam family "tRNA". Rfam says of the family: Transfer RNA (tRNA) molecules are approximately 80 nucleotides in length. Their secondary structure includes four short double-helical elements and three loops (D, anti-codon, and T loops). The record is from Rfam by way of RNAcentral. Lineage: Eukaryota; Metazoa; Chordata; Mammalia; Artiodactyla; Bovidae. RNAcentral also lists the same sequence under 5 other names.
UCCCUGGAGGUCCAGCGGUAAGACUCUGCACUCCAGUGCAGGGGGCGCAGGUUCAAUCCCUGGUCAGGGAA